Leguminivora glycinivorella is the source of this 3605-nucleotide RNA transcript. It is a transcript of the gene named nuclear pore complex protein Nup93-like, with no coding region annotated. NCBI's taxonomy places the organism in Eukaryota, Metazoa, Arthropoda, Insecta, Lepidoptera, Tortricidae. The transcript is spliced from 15 exons. The record is from RefSeq and is a predicted model, not a curated record.
AAAACGCUUGCUUUGCUUUCUUGUACUAACGGUGAACGAUUUUAAAAUAAUUUCCUAUUGUUGUGAUAUAUUAGACCUAUAUUGAGAAAUUAUAUCGACCAUUCUAAUGAUUUUAUAAACGGUUUAAAAAAAUACUUAGUGGAAUAAAGGUUUCCAACCGGUAUUGUAAAGGAAGUAUAACCUAUAACACCAUGGGUGACUCCGAUUUUAGCAAGUUGUUACAGCAAGCGGAACAGCUAACUACAGAGAUAGAAGGCAAUGAAGAACUGCCAAGGGUUGAGCGCUCCCUGGGACAGGUGUUGGAGGCUUCACAGGAGUUAUAUUCCAAAGUUAUUCAAUCUGGCGCCAACGAUAUCCAGGCCCAUUUGCUGUUCGGUUCAAAAGGAAUAGAUUUGCAGCAAAUAUCUCAAAAGCUAGAUACAUUAAGUUCGAAACGCACAUUUGAGCCCCUGCAGCCUAUUGCGGAUUCAGAUGUAGAGAGUUUCUUGAAAAAUGAGAGAGAAAAUGCCAUACUGUCAUUGAUUGAUGAAGUUAAUAGAAAUGCAUUACAAACAGUUGAAGAUCAGAAAUGGGAGCACAUGGUCUCAGAAUGGAACAAGGAAAAGAUCAAGCUAAUGAAUGCCAUGAUAGGCCCCUCACAGAACUGGCUUGACUUGAAACGCACAGCUGAGCCUCCAAGCAUUGCAGACACUCCCAAGAAAUUUGGGCUCUCUAUCCUAGACCCUGUGGAGGUGGCAUAUGCGAAGCAGGUUCAACAGUACAAUAAGUUGGUGUUCCAGGGUUCUAAGUCAAGGACACCUUUAUAUCAGAAGUUUGCGCAAGUGGCUGAGGAGCUGAAUGACCCGAAAGUAAAAGAAAUGUGGGAAAUUAUCAAGACCAUGGCCAAUGUUCCACUGCUCGCAAGAGAGGAGGACCCCUUGAAAUUGCGAGGAAACCCCACCAAUCAACAGUAUUUCAUAGCACAAGGAAAGAAAUAUUUGGAAAAGAGGUACAAACAAUACAUGAGCGACGUGGUACGCACGAAUCCCGGCGGCGCCCUGCGCGGCGGCGAACCAGGCACGUACCCCCUUGUGCGGGGCUUCGUCGCCCUGCGCCUGCAGGCCGCGCCCGCGCUCGCCGACGGCACUAUCGAUGACCGUCCCCUCUGGCCUAUGGUGUACUACUGUUUGAGAAGCGGUGAUGCUACAGCGGCGCUGCAUUGUCUUAGGAAGGCAGGGCGUGACCAUGAAGAGUUUAUAGCAGCCCUAGAGGAGCACAUCAGCAAUCCAGAGAAGGCUCUCAGUGAUAAGCUGCAAACUGCCAUCAACUUCCAGUACAGAAUCCAAGUUCGAAAUUCAACUGAUCCAUAUAAACGAGCCGUAUACUGUGUAGUGGGCGGCUGCGACCCUAGCGACGAACAUUCGGAAGUUGGUCGCACGGCCGACGACUAUCUAUGGCUGAAACUAGCCGUCAUCAAGAGCGGCUCCACACAGACUGAGUCCUUCACAUACUCCGACUUGCAAAAAUUGAUCUUAGAAGAAUAUGGUGAAACGCACUAUCACGCCUACGAAAAACCACUGGUGUACUUCCAAGUGCUAACAUUGACUGGACAGUUUGAACCGGCUAUUGAAUUCCUGUCGAGAAUACCUAGAUAUCGAGUACACGGUGUUCAUAUGGCACUGGCGCUACAUGAUGUUUACAUGUUGGGGACACCUCGCAACGUUCAAGCACCACUACUGUCGGUGGACACUGAAGACCCGCCCCCACUGCGCCGCCUCAACUUGGCUCGCCUGUUGCUACUCUACGUUAGAAAGUUCGAGCUCACGGACCCCUCCGAUGCUUUACAUUACUACUUCUUCCUCAGAAACUUGAAAGACCCCGAAGGCAAGAACCUAUUUAUGUGCUGUUGCACGGACCUAGCCCUGGAGUGCCGCGACUACGAGUUACUGUUCGGUCGUUCUGACACCAACACCGGCGUGCGCAGUCCGGGCUUACUCGAUCAGUUUAACAACCCGCACAUUGACAGCAAGGUGAUCGCCCUAAACGUAGCCGAGCAGCUGGUCAACAAAGGCCUAUUCGAAGACGCUAUUACUGUGUACGACAUCGCUGAGAAUCUCGAGAAGGUUCUAGAACUGUUCUGCAUGCUGCUCCCUCAAGUGCUGGUCGCGGGGGGCGGCGGCGCGCUGCGCUCCCGCCUCGGCGCGCGCGCGGAGCACGUGGCCCGCCGGCUCCGGCGCGAGGGGCCUGCUUUACCGCCGGCACUUGUUGAGGCGUAUACGAAGCUGUGCAAGCUGAUUACAUUCUUUGAUCAAUUCCAUGCGGAGAAUUACGAUGCUGCACUAGAGACACUACGCGAGUGUGAACUAGUCCCUCUCCGCCGCAGCGAGCUCGAGGCUCGAGUAGCGGGAGCCCGAGCAGCACGCGGCGCCCUGUUGCGAGCGCUGCCGGCCGUGCUGCGCGCCGUGUGCACCAUCCUCGUGGCGCAGCGGCAGCGGCUGCGCACCGCGCCCAGGGAGUCCAUGCUCGGCGCGCCGCACACCAACACAGAGAAGGUACAGGGGUUCACAGACACUACGCGAGUGUGAACUAGUCCCUCUCCGCCGCAGCGAGCUCGAGGCUCGAGUAGCGGGAGCCCGAGCAGCACGCGGCGCCCUGUUGCGAGCGCUGCCGGCCGUGCUGCGCGCCGUGUGCACCAUCCUCGUGGCGCAGCGGCAGCGGCUGCGCACCGCGCCCAGGGAGUCCAUGCUCGGCGCGCCGCACACCAACACAGAGAAGGUACAGGGGUUCACAGACACUACGCGAGUGUGAACUAGUCCCUCUCCGCCGCAGCGAGCUCGAGGCUCGAGUAGCGGGAGCCCGAGCAGCACGCGGCGCCCUGUUGCGUGCGCUGCCGGCCGUGCUGCGCGCCGUGUGCACCAUCCUCGUGGCGCAGCGGCAGCGGCUGCGCACCGCGCCCAGGGAGUCCAUGCUCGGCGCGCCGCACACCAACACAGAGAAGGUACAGGGGUUCACAGACACUACGCGAGUGUGAACUAGUCCCUCUCCGCCGCAGCGAGCUCGAGGCUCGAGUAGCGGGAGCCCGAGCAGCACGCGGCGCCCUGUUGCGUGCGCUGCCGGCCGUGCUGCGCGCCGUGUGCACCAUCCUCGUGGCGCAGCGGCAGCGGCUGCGCACCGCGCCCAGGGAGUCCAUGCUCGGCGCGCCGCACACCAACACAGAGAAGGUACAGGGGUUCACAGACACUACGCGAGUGUGAACUAGUCCCUCUCCGCCGCAGCGAGCUCGAGGCUCGAGUAGCGGGAGCCCGAGCAGCACGCGGCGCCCUGUUGCGAGCGCUGCCGGCCGUGCUGCGCGCCGUGUGCACCAUCCUCGUGGCGCAGCGGCAGCGGCUGCGCACCGCGCCCAGGGAGUCCAUGCUCGGCGCGCCGCACACCAACACAGAGAAGCAACUGGAAUGGUUACGGGAACAAGCCGAGGUGCUGAAUACGUUCGCGGGCAACAUCGCGUACAGAAUGCCGGGCGACACCUACAGUCAGCUCGCUCAGAUGCAGAUCCUCAUGCACUAACCAAUAGAGAUCACUUCCGAAUAACAAACACGUAAUUAUUAAAAUAUUUUUGUAAUUAAUAA